CUUCUUUGCUGACGAGUGGCGGACGGGUGAGUAAUGUCUGGGAAACUGCCUGAUGGAGGGGGAUAACUACUGGAAACGGUAGCUAAUACCGCAUAACGUCGCAAGACCAAAGAGGGGGACCUUCGGGCCUCUUGCCAUCGGAUGUGCCCAGAUGGGAUUAGCUAGUAGGUGGGGUAACGGCUCACCUAGGCGACGAUCCCUAGCUGGUCUGAGAGGAUGACCAGCCACACUGGAACUGAGACACGGUCCAGACUCCUACGGGAGGCAGCAGUGGGGAAUAUUGCACAAUGGGCGCAAGCCUGAUGCAGCCAUGCCGCGUGUAUGAAGAAGGCCUUCGGGUUGUAAAGUACUUUCAGCGGGGAGGAAGGGAGUAAAGUUAAUACCUUUGCUCAUUGACGUUACCCGCAGAAGAAGCACCGGCUAACUCCGUGCCAGCAGCCGCGGUAAUACGGAGGGUGCAAGCGUUAAUCGGAAUUACUGGGCGUAAAGCGCACGCAGGCGGUUUGUUAAGUCAGAUGUGAAAUCCC
This 527-nucleotide ribosomal RNA is filed under the name Escherichia coli. RNAcentral describes it as "bacterial SSU rRNA". It matches the Rfam family "Bacterial small subunit ribosomal RNA", at positions 80 to 603 of the family's 1533-position model. The record is from RNAcentral. Lineage: Bacteria; Pseudomonadati; Pseudomonadota; Gammaproteobacteria; Enterobacterales; Enterobacteriaceae.